This 1400-nucleotide ribosomal RNA is filed under the name Achromobacter sp. GGAR 35G. RNAcentral's name for it is "bacterial SSU rRNA". It matches the Rfam family "Bacterial small subunit ribosomal RNA". Lineage: Bacteria; Pseudomonadati; Pseudomonadota; Betaproteobacteria; Burkholderiales; Alcaligenaceae. The record is from RNAcentral.
GCAGCACGGACUUCGGUCUGGUGGCGAGUGGCGAACGGGUGAGUAAUGUAUCGGAACGUGCCCAGUAGCGGGGGAUAACUACGCGAAAGCGUAGCUAAUACCGCAUACGCCCUACGGGGGAAAGCAGGGGAUCGCAAGACCUUGCACUAUUGGAGCGGCCGAUAUCGGAUUAGCUAGUUGGUGGGGUAACGGCUCACCAAGGCGACGAUCCGUAGCUGGUUUGAGAGGACGACCAGCCACACUGGGACUGAGACACGGCCCAGACUCCUACGGGAGGCAGCAGUGGGGAAUUUUGGACAAUGGGGGAAACCCUGAUCCAGCCAUCCCGCGUGUGCGAUGAAGGCCUUCGGGUUGUAAAGCACUUUUGGCAGGAAAGAAACGUCGCGGGUUAAUACCCCGCGGAACUGACGGUACCUGCAGAAUAAGCACCGGCUAACUACGUGCCAGCAGCCGCGGUAAUACGUAGGGUGCAAGCGUUAAUCGGAAUUACUGGGCGUAAAGCGUGCGCAGGCGGUUCGGAAAGAAAGAUGUGAAAUCCCAGAGCUUAACUUUGGAACUGCAUUUUUAACUACCGAGCUAGAGUGUGUCAGAGGGAGGUGGAAUUCCGCGUGUAGCAGUGAAAUGCGUAGAUAUGCGGAGGAACACCGAUGGCGAAGGCAGCCUCCUGGGAUAUCACUGACGCUCAUGCACGAAAGCGUGGGGGAGCGGACAGGAUUAGAUACCCUGGUAGUCCACGCCCUAAACGAUGUCAACUAGCUGUUGGGGCCUUCGGGCCUUGGUAGCGCAGCUAACGCGUGAAGUUGACCGCCUGGGGAGUACGGUCGCAAGAUUAAAACUCAAAGGAAUUGACGGGGACCCGCACAAGCGGUGGAUGAUGUGGAUUAAUUCGAUGCAACGCGAAAAACCUUACCUACCCUUGACAUGUCUGGAAUUCCGAAGAGAUUUGGAAGUGCUCGCAAGAGAACCGGAACACAGGUGCUGCAUGGCUGUCGUCAGCUCGUGUCGUGAGAUGUUGGGUUAAGUCCCGCAACGAGCGCAACCCUUGUCAUUAGUUGCUACGAAAGGGCACUCUAAUGAGACUGCCGGUGACAAACCGGAGGAAGGUGGGGAUGACGUCAAGUCCUCAUGGCCCUUAUGGGUAGGGCUUCACACGUCAUACAAUGGUCGGGACAGAGGGUCGCCAACCCGCGAGGGGGAGCCAAUCCCAGAAACCCGAUCGUAGUCCGGAUCGCAGUCUGCAACUCGACUGCGUGAAGUCGGAAUCGCUAGUAAUCGCGGAUCAGCAUGUCGCGGUGAAUACGUUCCCGGGUCUUGUACACACCGCCCGUCACACCAUGGGAGUGGGUUUUACCAGAAGUAGUUAGCCUAACCGCAAGGGGGGCGAUUACCACGGUAGGAUU